UUUUUUUUUUCUUUUUUUGUAUCCAAUCAUGCAUUACCUGUUAAGAUAGUUUUUGGCUGUGACACACCAACUUUGACCCUGCGAACAAAUGACACACCAACUCAUCAGCGGAUUAAAUCCACUGAAGGACACAAAAUAAAGUGUUGUCCAUGGGCACACUGCCCACACAACUUGCUGGUAUACAUAGCAGAAUCAAGAAUUUUUGCUGGGGAUAUAACUUGCUAGACAUGUAUGUGUUUCUAUGCUAGUAGCAGGGCCAGAUUCAGAAAAAAAUCAUUUUAACAACCCCCAAAAACGGCAAGCUAGCAUCGUCCAUUUCUUUGGUGUGCGAGACCAGCGUUUUUUUGUGAUCCGAGGCAUCAGACAUGUCUCGAAAAAUCGUCAUAGCAUGUUCUUUUUUAUUCCUUUAUUCUGAACAUGAAAUCGCCCCUGCUGUGACUGAUCGCUCAUGUGCUACACAACACAGGUAACCCUCCCAAAAACGCUUUUCAACGUUCAUGUUGCUUACUAAUUUUCAACAUGAUGAACUGGCUAGAAAAUUCAAAACCGACCAGACGAACAACUUUUGUGCAACAAAACUACGAGCAAAAGCUGAUGAUGCAUAUACUUCAGCAGAAAAUUAAUCGACAUUAUCUAAAACACAAAUUCACCUCCUGGUCCAAGAAGAUUGGUUUGCACUCGACACUCCCACGCCAUCUUCGUCUGGAUCCUGGUCCGCGGCAUCAGGGACUAUAUUUGCACCGCCUAUCUCGCAGGAAUCGCCCACCCUUCGUUGCCAAGAUCAUACGACGCGCACCCCCCAUACCAGCUCCUUCGCCCCCUUCAUAAUCCAUCGGUAGAGAAGAAAUCAAAGCCUCCUCGCAUCCUCUGUUCCACUUGUGCCGCCUUCAGUCAGUUGCUCACCGGCAACGAGAUCCCUUAAGCAAACUCUGCUGUCCAACCGCGGCACGAACCUGCUCAGGCAAACGAGAGCCAGCCAGAUCUGUUUGUUAGAGGAACAAGUCAAGUCCCGCAAAAAAAAAAGAGGAACAAGUCAAGGGAAACUCCAAUCGAUGGAAUUCUAGCUCAAAAAAUACAUCCCGUAGCGAGAACUUGAGCGAGAUUUAGGAAUAUUACCCUGCUGCAGAUUCCUCGAAGAAGAACUCCAUGCCGUCCAUGGCGGGAAGCGGCGCUGCCGCCCCCCGCCCCGCGCGGUGCCGUCCACUUUCUGGGGCCCAAACACGAACAUGCGCCGCUUAAUGGUCGACGCUGCUGUCGCCGAGCGGGCCCAGCAACCACACAUUUAUUUUUCUCACCAACCAACCUCGCCAGCGCGCGAGGUGGGCCAAAUUUGAAGCCGCAUGGACCGAACAUCUUGUGCGUGCACGCUAGUACAGAAAUCGUAGGCCCAUGUACAAAGCCGAAACAGAAAUAGGCAGCACCGUUGUAUUUAUACCAGACAGAAACCAGAUAGAAACGGUAAAUAGAAAAGGAGCGGAGGCCACGCAUCGCGACGCCCGAACGAACGACGCAGAUACCGGCCUCUAUGCAGCUCGUCCACCAAAACGCCCCUCUCUGGAGUAGAAGGCUAAGAAAAAACUAGUGGAAAAUAGAACACUCGAAAGAAAAAUAGUGUAGAAGCCAUGCAACAGACUGACAUGUAUAUGCGGGUCUGUUUACAAGGAUGCACAUAAUAGGAUGCAUUUCAACCCCGUUCUAGUUCUCAAUCAUUUCGUGGCAUCGGAUGUGGCUGAACCAUCUACAAAGCUCUACCAUCAAUAAAAAAUUGUUUCACCUGGGAAAAUUUGUUUCUGAGCUCGGGCUCAGAUGCUCUUGAAAUCCAGGCCUUCUACUCUUCCCGAGAUCAGCGCUGUAUGUUGUAUUAUGUGCUGUAUCCCUUCGGUAUGUUCAUUGGAAAUGAAUUUGGGCCAGCGCAUUUAUUACUGGUUGGUAUCGUCAUUUGCCAAAAAGAGGUUAAUCCACUUCAUUCGCCAAGUGAUUGAUCUUCGCUUCGCUUCGCGGGAACAACAAAAACCACCAUACUUGUGGCCUUUUCCACACCCUACAUGAUAUCUGACAAUACUCGCCUAGACCAAAUCACAGCAGUUGCUUGGUGCCUGUCCGGUGUCCAAAGGGACUUGUAUAUAUGCCAGUGAGCUGAAAAUUUGCAAUUGAGCCGUUCCAACAGGAUGGAACUGGAACAGAUGGGGAGCCGGUAUAGCCUCCUCCAAGCAACGAGAGCCAAAUCCGUGAUAGUCAUCGUCACCAUUUGCGUUGAUAAAGAUAGGCUACCAACGAUUUAAUUGAAGAAACAGGAAUACAGGAUACAACACAAGAUCAAUGUAUUUGUAUAACUAGUCUUAGCUCUAAUCCAGGUGAAGUAACAAUCAACCUGCAGGUGUUCUAGUGACGCCAAUAAGGUGCACACGCAUAGAAAAACUGGUAACUUGACAAGAAAUGAAAGCACAUGUGUGGUAUGACAGGACCUACACAGUGAACAGCUAUGUACCAACACAGCAGAGAACAACAACGAACAAUGAAGACGAAGGACAACAUCUGCAACGUCGCAAAUCUACAUAUUGGAUACCUGCGGCAACAUCACAUCCAUAACAUGGCACCGGGUACAAGGCCCCCCAAUAUGUAACUUGACUGAAGAGGGAACUUUCUCCACGAUGUAUCUCUUGACGGCACCGAGUGCUUUAUGUGCUUCCAAGAUAAUACGCCGGCUUGUGGGCAUGCAUUUACCGGAUUCUGGGGCAGAACACCUAACAGACUCACCAACUGCAUCCGCACCAAAUAUGCAGUCCAGUGUGAGGCUUUCAAGUGACGUUGCAUUCUUGAGGAUAUGACAUGUUAGCUCAACUAUGCUCUUUGCGGAGCAAAAGCCAUCGAUUUGCACCUUCUUGAGCCUCUCAUGCCGCCUGUGUUCAGGAAUCUGCCUCAGAUGUGAGGAGGGAUCCUCAAAAACCGAAUCAUGCCGCAUGUCACUCUGAUCUACCUGCAUAGCAUCGAAUAAAUGCCAGUCAAAUUAAAUGUCUCCACGGCAGAUACUAGACACCUUUGCAGCGUGAACAGUUAACUCACACUUAAGAUGAAACUCUCCAAGACAGGACAAGCAUCCAGAAAUGAAGCCAAGGAUAAAUAAUCAUAGGCAGGGGUAACAGCCCCCUCACCAUCCUCACCAAAGUAGAUAUUCAAGUGCUUUAUGUGGAUGAAUUUGUCAGCUACCAUUGGGGUACUAACCCUCUGCACAAAGAUAUCUCGAAUUAAUCAUAUUCCUUCCUACGAGUCAUAAACACUGGAAUCUAAUGAUGUGAAGCUUCAGAGCAUACCUCACAAAACGAGUAUACAGUAAGAGUCUCAAGAUGUGGUGCGAUGAAAGGUAGCUUAGUGAUAGCAUAACUCACAGCAUUGGGCGCAAAUGAAUACCCCACCCUUAAGUCUUUUACCUUUGAUGAUUCUCCAAGCACGAGUUGUACUGGUUCACCAAAGAAGUCAAAAAUGGAGAGGUGCGGAGCUGUGCUCUUUAUCACUCUCAGCUUGUCGCACUGAGACACAGUCAAGCAACUAAGCCGCUCCAGCCAGAAUGGUAUCUCCAGGCAGAUUAGCUUCAUGCAACAGCUGACUUCUAACUCCUCCAAAGCAAAACAAUUGGAAAUAAGAUGCCCCAACUCAUCCCCCGUGAUACAAACUCCAUACAGAUGCAGCUUUGCCAGGCUUCUCAAGCAAUCAAAUCCAACCGGGGGGCGGAAGGCACAAUUGGUGAGGUAAAGAUACCAGAUUGAGUUUCCACGCCCAUCAAGUAGAGCUGAACACGGGAAUUCAUACAUUUUCCUAUGUUUCGUAGGCAGCAAAAGUGUGACUUCUUCAAUCCCUGGUGUGACAGCUUUCUGGAGCCAACUAUUUAGAUGACAAGUGUCGACAUUGUAAUGAUCACGGAUUACAAACUUGAGUAUCUUCACACCGGUGUCUGAGUGAUUUUUCAGAAUAUGAUCAACUCUGCUAGUGAAACCCCUUGCUAUAUCGAUAUUUUGGCCUUCCUUCUGUUUCAAGCCUAGUGUUUCCUCACUGAAUAUAAGCUUGGGGUGGCAUCUCCAGGAACAUAGAAAUGUGCGAGAUACACAGGCAGAACGGGCAGAAUCACGCAAUGGCAUUAGGGAAUGUAUAAGGCACCAGAUAUCCUGCACAAGCAUGGAAAAAAUAGUUGAUCACUGGGAUUGUGCAUUUUUUAACAAAUAAUAGUGGGAUCAUACAGAGAAAUUUUAAAUCCCAAGUGAUCUGCUCGCACUUGUACAAAAUGUGCUGCACAUGGAGGAAGGUAAGUGCAUUGUAAGUGCAUUGUAAUGUAAUUGUGGUAGAUAAGUUCAGCUCGUGCCAAGGUUCCUUUUCUAUGUAAGAGUAAUGUAGGUGGCUUUCACACUUCGUAGCAAUUUGUAUGAUCAACUAGUAUAUCACUAAGAAAUCAAUAUUGUUGGAUUUUUCCCCAUAACCUAUUCUUUUUUUUCGACCAAUUCCAUAACCUAUUCUUUGAACAAAACCUAGAGUAGCCAACUACUAUAGAAGGAUUAACCACAUCUUUCAGAAAGAUCUGUAAAAGUACAUUUUAUCCCGUACCUCAGGUAGAUUGGGCCAUGACCAUGUCGACGUAUCACCACCCUGUGAAUGAUCAUCUUGUUGGCAGAGCGAGUCCUGCUUAUCUGGGCUGAGCUCCGGCCACAUCCCUGUCGGGCUUGAAGUCGAUCUGCUGAUGGGCGAAACAGUAACUGUACGAUCCGCCUCCGGCGAUUCAGAAGGCGACAAGGGCGGCGCGGGGGGCGUGCUCGUCGGCGAAGCGAGACGGGAGGGCUCCGCUCCGACAGAGCCCAGGCCCCUCUCCACCUCACCGGAGAAGGAGGCUUUUGCCCCCGGCGGCCAGGGAUCACGGUUUUCCCCGCCGGCUUUCACCUUGGGUGAUGGAGGCGCUCCCAGAGACGGCCGGGGCUGGAGGUCUGGGUGCUCCGGUGUGCUCGUCGCCGUCCGAGGAGGGGCGGUCUGCGGGAGUGCUGGAGGAGAUGCGGCAGCAGGAAGCUCUGCGUCUGCCGCUGGCAUCCUCGCCGCCGGUGGCGCCCUAAGACUCGGGAGUUUGUCGUGGUGAUGGGCCAUAUCCAGAUGUGGACAUGUUUUUUAGGUGAGAAUGUGGACGUGAUGUGGUCGAUCCGGUGCUGGACCGUCCUAAUCCUGGGCCUGGGCUUCGUAACUUUUUAAGCCCAGACUAAGUGGUCAAGUGUUUUGUCUCAAUCUGUCUCGAAAAAAAAGUGUUUUGUGUCAAAGAAAACAAAAAUCUCAUUCUUGUUUGGAUUUGCAGGCUAGCACCAGUGAGUGAUUUUAUUUUAUUUUUGCAAGAGAAAUUUUCAAUCUAUUCAUCAAUCAUUUCAGUACAUAGCACAAUAGAGGUAAAACAAAUUACAACUAGGUCCAUGGAACAGCGAGUGCUAUCUCGUCGAGUCAAUUCGAAAUGCAACUGCCUGCAUGCCUUUCGCCUUUUUUCCUAAACUGUGCCGUCAUGAUGUUUAUUGGACGGUUACCGUGGAUAUAAUAUCUUAUUAUUCGAGAGAUGCAAAAUCAUGAGGUUAUUCAACAGUUACCGUGCCGCAGGUGUAUAUUCUGUCACGUAAUCACCUACAAUUUGACACACGACCUGAAGCUGUCGAACCUUUUGAGGCACAAAUGGCCUCAUGCAGAUGAAUUACUCACCAAUGACCACAGGUUUUAAAUUCUGGCAAAGAAACAUUCAGCCACUCAGUUUUGAACAGAAGCGGAACUUUCAUGCUUCAACUGGGAGGAGGGGUAAUGUAUCACACACAAAGUAUUCAUACAUAUGCAAUAAUGCAAGCGACAAUGCAUGCUGUAAAUGAAACAAAGGAGUACAACAGAACUUAAACAUCAAAGUGGAGUGAAACUAUUUGGAAGAAAAAAAUCCCUACUUAUUUCCUCGUCGAUUAAAAAAUCCGGUCGGUAUGUCUCGGUUGAUCGAAUGAUUAUGGUAUAGACAUAGAUAAUUAUGCAUCUGUUCUGUAGUAAAAGUUCAAUCUAGAAACAUUAUACUAGUCUGAUACACACAAAGGUUCAACCGUUUCAGUGACAUAUGCCACAGCACAGCUAAAAUGUGUCUGGAAAUGACAGAAUGUUUCAGCCUAUAAUUUGGUAUAGAACUAGCAGAGUAACAGUGAAAAAGGGAUGCUACUCGAUCGAAUAUGUCCAAUAGGCGGAUAGUCAACAAUGGCCAACCAACCUAAGCAUCUAGAGGCUUCACUUCAGGGUACUUUUGCUGUAGAAGAGACAUUCCAUUCCACACAGCUGAAAAGCCCAGCACAAACAGGGUGUGUAUAAUCUGCAUAUGCGUCAGGUCCACCACUACUACAUACGCUGAUACGCCUGAAGGGCAUCCCAUCAUCCUGCAAGUAGAGUGAAAAUGAUAUCAGUGAAACAUUUCAAUGGAUCAGCUAUAAUAAAUAAUAAAAAUGGAAAAAUGCAACAGACAGAGGCACGUUUUUAAGAAUUGUCUCUGAUGCUUCAUAGUCUGGUAAAAGAACAU
RNAcentral lists this long non-coding RNA (6553 nucleotides) under Triticum aestivum (bread wheat). RNAcentral describes it as "long non-coding RNA (TAES_LNC000450)". The record is from RNAcentral. Lineage: Eukaryota; Viridiplantae; Streptophyta; Magnoliopsida; Poales; Poaceae.